UGGAGAGUUUGAUCCUGGCUCAGGACGAACGCUGGCGGCGUGCUUAACACAUGCAAGUCGAACGAUGAACCGCUUUCGGGCGGGGAUUAGUGGCGAACGGGUGAGUAACACGUGGGCAAUCUGCCCUGCACUCUGGGACAAGCCCUGGAAACGGGGUCUAAUACCGGAUAUGACUGUCCGCCGCAUGGUGGAUGGUGUAAAGCUCCGGCGGUGCAGGAUGAGCCCGCGGCCUAUCAGCUUGUUGGUGAGGUAGUGGCUCACCAAGGCGACGACGGGUAGCCGGCCUGAGAGGGCGACCGGCCACACUGGGACUGAGACACGGCCCAGACUCCUACGGGAGGCAGCAGUGGGGAAUAUUGCACAAUGGGCGAAAGCCUGAUGCAGCGACGCCGCGUGAGGGAUGACGGCCUUCGGGUUGUAAACCUCUUUCAGCAGGGAAGAAGCGAAAGUGACGGUACCUGCAGAAGAAGCGCCGGCUAACUACGUGCCAGCAGCCGCGGUAAUAA
Molecule: ribosomal RNA, 506 nt
Filed under: Streptomyces sp.
Lineage: Bacteria; Bacillati; Actinomycetota; Actinomycetes; Kitasatosporales; Streptomycetaceae
Description: bacterial SSU rRNA
Rfam family: Bacterial small subunit ribosomal RNA
Source: RNAcentral